RNAcentral lists this microRNA (21 nucleotides) under Aegilops tauschii. RNAcentral describes it as "ata-miR5168-5p". The record is from miRBase by way of RNAcentral. Lineage: Eukaryota; Viridiplantae; Streptophyta; Magnoliopsida; Poales; Poaceae.
GGGUUGUUGUCUGGUUCAAGG